UACGAAGGGGGCUAGCGUUGCUCGGAAUCACUGGGCGUAAAGCGCACGUAGGCGGCUUUCUAAGUCAGGGGUGAAAUCCUGGAGCUCAACUCCAGAACUGCCUUUGAUACUGGAGAGCUUGAGUCCGGAAGAGGUGGGUGGAACUCCGAGUGUAGAGGUGAAAUUCGUAGAUAUUCGGAAGAACACCAGUGGCGAAGGCGGCUCACUGGUCCGGUACUGACGCUGAGGUGCGAAAGCGUGGGGAGCAAACGGG
RNAcentral lists this ribosomal RNA (253 nucleotides) under uncultured bacterium. Its description in RNAcentral is "partial 16S ribosomal RNA". It matches the Rfam family "Bacterial small subunit ribosomal RNA", at positions 524 to 776 of the family's 1533-position model. The record is from RNAcentral.